UAACAUUCGCGUGGGUUUUAAAGUGCAUUGUCAAGUGGAGCGGCUUUGCCAUGUUCUUCCUGUGUCACCUCUGACUUCCGCCUCCCGGUUGUAAGAUGCUGCACACUGUGUAAUCUAUCAGGUUAUAGAUAAGGCCUGGAGACAUGUGGAGAGCCACACGCCUGGAGACAUGUGGAGAGCCAUGCCCCUGGAGACCUGUGGAGAGCCACGCCCCUGGAGACCUGUGGAGAGCCACGCCCCUGGCUGUGCUGAAGUCAGGCCUUGUCUUCACGUGUGCCUGAUGUCCUCGGCUCCACCCCAGCACACAAACCCUGCACUUGAUGGGUCAGCUGGUACCACCCAGAUGGAUAAACUGGCUCAUCUCAUCGUGUGGCCCCACCCAGGAACUGACUCUGCAAGAAGAGAGCUCCACCUCCCUAUGAC
Molecule: long non-coding RNA, 423 nt
Organism: Callithrix jacchus (white-tufted-ear marmoset)
Lineage: Eukaryota; Metazoa; Chordata; Mammalia; Primates; Cebidae
Source: RefSeq, a predicted model, not a curated record